GACGAACGCUGGCGGCGUGCUUAACACAUGCAAGUCGAACGGAAAGGCCCUGCUUUUGUGGGGUGCUCGAGUGGCGAACGGGUGAGUAACACGUGAGUAACCUGCCCUUGACUUUGGGAUAACUUCAGGAAACUGGGGCUAAUACCGGAUAGGAGCUCCUGCUGCAUGGUGGGGGUUGGAAAGUUUCGGCGGUUGGGGAUGGAUUCGCGGCUUAUCAGCUUGUUGGUGGGGUAGUGGCUUACCAAGGCUUUGACGGGUAGCCGGCCUGAGAGGGUGACCGGCCACAUUGGGCCUGCGAUACGGCCCAGACUCCUACGGGAGGCAGCAGUGGGGAAUAUUGCACAAUGGGCGGAAGCCUGAUGCAGCAACGCCGCGUGCGGGAUGACGGCCUUCGGGUUGUAAACCGCUUUCGCCUGUGACGAAGCGUGAGUGACGGUAAUGGGUAAAGAAGCACCGGCUAACUACGUG
This 468-nucleotide ribosomal RNA is filed under the name uncultured bacterium. RNAcentral describes it as "partial 16S ribosomal RNA". It matches the Rfam family "Bacterial small subunit ribosomal RNA", at positions 28 to 507 of the family's 1533-position model. The record is from RNAcentral.